GGUUGUGCCCUUGAGGCGUGGCUUCCGGAGCUAACGCGUUAAGUAGACCGCCUGGGGAGUACGGCCGCAAGGUUAAAACUCAAAUGAAUUGACGGGGGCCCGCACAAGCGGUGGAGCAUGUGGUUUAAUUCGAUGCAACGCGAAGAACCUUACCUGGUCUUGACAUCCACGGAAGAAUUCAGAGAUGGAUUUGUGCCUUCGGGAACCGUGAGACAGGUGCUGCAUGGCUGUCGUCAGCUCGUGUUGUGAAAUGUUGGGUUAAGUCCCGCAACGAGCGCAACCCUUAUCCUUUGUUGCCAGCGGUCCGGCCGGGAACUCAAAGGAGACUGCCAGUGAUAAACUGGAGGAAGGUGGGGAUGACGUCAAGUCAUCAUGGCCCUUACGACCAGGGCUACACACGUGCUACAAUGGCGCAUACAAAGAGAAGCGACCUCGCGAGAGCAAGCGGACCUCAUAAAGUGCGUCGUAGUCCGGAUUGGAGUCUGCAACUCGACUCCAUGAAGUCGGAAUCGCUAGUAAUCGUGGAUCAGAAUGCCACGGUGAAUACGUUCCCGGGCCUUGUACACACCGCCCGUCACACCAUGGGAGUGGGUUGCAAAAGAAGUAGGUAGCUUAACCUUCGGGAGGGCGCUUACCACUUUGUGAUUCAUGACUGGGGUGAAGUCGUAACAAGGUAACCGUAGGGGAACCUGC
Molecule: ribosomal RNA, 693 nt
Filed under: Salmonella enterica
Lineage: Bacteria; Pseudomonadati; Pseudomonadota; Gammaproteobacteria; Enterobacterales; Enterobacteriaceae
Description: bacterial SSU rRNA
Rfam family: Bacterial small subunit ribosomal RNA
Source: RNAcentral